UGGGGAAUUUUGGACAAUGGGCGCAAGCCUGAUCCAGCCAUGCCGCGUGCGGGAAGAAGGCCUUCGGGUUGUAAACCGCUUUUGUCAGGGAAGAAAUCUUCUGAGUUAAUACCUCGGGAGGAUGACGGUACCUGAAGAAUAAGCACCGGCUAACUACGUGCCAGCAGCCGCGGUAAUACGUAGGGUGCAAGCGUUAAUCGGAAUUACUGGGCGUAAAGCGUGCGCAGGCGGUUUUGUAAGACAGAGGUGAAAUCCCCGGGCUCAACCUGGGAACUGCCUUUGUGACUGCAAGGCUUGAGUGCGGCAGAGGGGGAUGGAAUUCCGCGUGUAGCAGUGAAAUGCGUAGAUAUGCGGAGGGACACCGAUGGCGAAGGCAAUCCCCUGGGCCUGCACUGACGCUCAUGCACGAAAGCGUGGGGAGCAAACAGGAUUAGAUACCCUGGUAGUCCACGCCCUAAACGAUGUCAACUGGUUGUUGGGAAGGUUCCUUCUCAGUAACGUAGCUAACGCGUAAAGUUGACCGCCUGGGGAGU
RNAcentral lists this ribosomal RNA (533 nucleotides) under uncultured bacterium. Its description in RNAcentral is "partial 16S ribosomal RNA". It matches the Rfam family "Bacterial small subunit ribosomal RNA", at positions 355 to 881 of the family's 1533-position model. The record is from RNAcentral.